Triticum aestivum (bread wheat) is the source of this 125-nucleotide non-coding RNA. NCBI's taxonomy places the organism in Eukaryota, Viridiplantae, Streptophyta, Magnoliopsida, Poales, Poaceae. The record is from Rfam.
AUUGUACUCCAUCUGUCCGGAAUUACUUGUCGCAGAAAUGAAUAUAUGUAGACAUAUUUUAGUUCUAGAUACAUCCAUUUUUAUCCAUUUCUACGACAAGUAAUUCGGGGCGGAAGGAGUAGAUA